This 932-nucleotide ribosomal RNA is filed under the name uncultured Bacillota bacterium. RNAcentral describes it as "bacterial SSU rRNA". It matches the Rfam family "Bacterial small subunit ribosomal RNA", at positions 1 to 917 of the family's 1533-position model. Lineage: Bacteria; Bacillati; Bacillota. The record is from RNAcentral.
UGGAUCCAGACUUUUGAUUCUGGCUCAGGACGAACGCUGGCGGCGCGCUUAACACAUGCAAGUCGAACGGACCAAAUUCUUUCGGGAACGAGGUCAGUGGCAAACGGGUGAGUAACGCGUAGGCAACCUGCCUCCCGGAUAGGGACAACGGCUCGAAAGAGCCGCUAAUACCUCAUGAAGUAAGAAGAUCGCAUGAUCUACUUAUGAAAGGCGCUCAUGGCGCCGCCGGGAGAGGGGCCUGCGUCUGAUUAGCCAGUUGGUGAGGUAACGGCCCACCAAAGCAACGAUCAGUAGCCGGUCUGAGAGGAUGAACGGCCACAAUGGGACUGAGACACGGCCCAUACUCCUACGGGAGGCAGCAGUGGGGAAUCUUCCGCAAUGGGCGAAAGCCUGACGGAGCGACGCCGCGUGAGUGAAGAAGGUCUUCGGACCGUAAAGCUCUUUUGUUGCAGGCGAAGGGUAAGAGCAGGAAAUGGCUCUUAUUAGACGGUAUGCAACGAAUAAGCCACGGCUAACUACGUGCCAGCAGCCGCGGUAAUACGUAGGUGGCGAGCGUUGUCCGGAAUUAUUGGGCGUAAAGGGAGCGCAGGCGGAAGGACAAGCCAGAUUUGAAAGUUCGGGGCUCAGCCCCGUGACGGAUCUGGAACUGUUCUCCUUGAGAGCGGGAGAAGGAAGCGGAAUUCCUGGUGUAGCGGUGAAAUGCGUAGAUAUCAGGAAGAACACCAGUGGCGAAAGCGGCUUUCCGGACCGAAUCUGACGCUGAGGCUCGAAAGCCAGGGGAGCGAACGGGAUUAGAUACCCCGGUAGUCCUGGCCGUAAACGAUGGAUGCUAGGUGUGGGGGGUAUCGACCCCCUCCGUGCCGGAGCAAACGCAAUAAGCAUCCCGCCUGGGGAGUACGGUCGCAAGACUGCAACUCAAAUGAAUUGACGGA